Molecule: unclassified non-coding RNA, 385 nt
Filed under: fungal sp.
Lineage: Eukaryota; Fungi
Description: partial internal transcribed spacer region
Rfam family: Eukaryotic small subunit ribosomal RNA (bases 1-46)
Source: RNAcentral
AAGUCGUAACAAGGUUUCCGUAGGUGAACCUGCGGAAGGAUCAUUAACAUGCCGUGAACCAGCUCCGGUUUUCUCUCGAGAUUCUUUGCCUCGCGAAACCAAAGUCUCUGGGAAUACUGUACUUCUUGGGAGAGCGAUUACCCACACUCUGGGGGCGGGAAGUUCGGCUUCCUUGCCUUCGUCGGGUGGUCAUUGUGUCUUCGGGAAGUCGCGCUCUUUGCUGGUUCCAAGUUUAAACGGAUUAAGCUUCCGCGAGGUCGUGGUGCGUCCCCCCGUGGUUCAUAUUUACCGCGGCAAAACUUGACAACUUUAACCAACCGCGCUUCAGCCAAAAGCUGGAGUCGGAAACCCUGAACAACUGUUAGCAAUGGAUAUCUUGGCUCUC